UUCCAGGCUCCUACGGGAGGCAGCAGUGAGGAAUAUUGGUCAAUGGGCGGAAGCCUGAACCAGCCAAGUCGCGUGAGGGAAUAAGGCCCUACGGGUCGUAAACCUCUUUUGCCGGGGAGCAAGGGCGGGGACGUGUCCCGGCCCGGAGAGUACCCGGAGAAAAAGCAUCGGCUAACUCCGUGCCAGCAGCCGCGGUAAUACGGAGGAUGCGAGCGUUAUCCGGAUUUAUUGGGUUUAAAGGGUGCGUAGGCGGUCCGGAAAGUCAGCGGUAAAAGCCCGGGGCUCAACCCCGGCGAGUCGUUGAAACUGUCGGACUAGAGACGGCGAGAAGUACGCGGAAUGCGCGGUGUAGCGGUGAAAUGCAUAGAUAUCGCGCAGAACUCCGAUUGCGAAGGCAGCGUACCGGCGCCGGACUGACGCUGAGGCACGAAAGCGUGGGUAUCGAACAGGAUUAGAUACCCCGGUAC
This 467-nucleotide ribosomal RNA is filed under the name uncultured bacterium. RNAcentral's name for it is "bacterial SSU rRNA". It matches the Rfam family "Bacterial small subunit ribosomal RNA", at positions 329 to 793 of the family's 1533-position model. The record is from RNAcentral.